UGCCCGGUCGCCAAGCGGAAAGGCACGGGACUUUGAAUCCCGCAUUCGUAGGUUCGAAUCCUACCCGGGCAGCCA
Molecule: transfer RNA, 75 nt
Filed under: Microcaldota archaeon
Lineage: Archaea; Nanobdellati; Microcaldota
Description: tRNA-Gln
Rfam family: tRNA
About the family: Transfer RNA (tRNA) molecules are approximately 80 nucleotides in length. Their secondary structure includes four short double-helical elements and three loops (D, anti-codon, and T loops).
Source: RNAcentral